GCCCCUGAAUAAAUCAGAGGUGAGACCUGCCCAGUGAUUUCUAUUUUAAAAUAAUAAAAAUAUUUAAAUGAAAUUAAAAGGACGCGGUAACCUUGACUGUGAUAAUGUAGCAUAAUCACUCGCCAUUUAAUUGAUGGAUAGUAUGAAUGGUUAAACGAAUAUUACACUAUCUAAAAAGUAAAUCUCAUGAAAAUGAAAUAAUAGUAAAGAUGCUAUUUAAAAUUGUAAGACGAAAAGACCCUAUAGAGCUUAACUAUAAUCUUUUUUAAAAUUAUAAAAAUAUUUUUAUAAUUAAAAAGAGUGGUAGUUUAGUUGGGGCGACUAUUUUCUAAAAAUAACGAAAACAAGCAAAAUUAAUGAAAUAAUUUAUUGUAUAAUAAACAAAUUUAACAAUUACUAAAGUAGGCCAUAAUGACCCGUUAAUUUUAAAUAAUAAAAAUAACGAUUAAUGAAUAAAAGCUACCUUAGGGAUAACAGGAUAAUUUUAUUUUAGAGUUCCUAUCGAAAAUAAAGUUUGUCACCUCUAUGUUGAAUUAAGAUAUCCUAAUGACGCAGAAGUUAUUGAGGGUAGGUCUGUUCGACCUUUAAAAUCUUA
RNAcentral lists this ribosomal RNA (595 nucleotides) under Eudendrium ramosum. RNAcentral's name for it is "partial 16S ribosomal RNA". It matches the Rfam family "Bacterial large subunit ribosomal RNA", at positions 1833 to 2598 of the family's 2925-position model. Lineage: Eukaryota; Metazoa; Cnidaria; Hydrozoa; Anthoathecata; Eudendriidae. The record is from RNAcentral.